RNAcentral lists this ribosomal RNA (484 nucleotides) under uncultured bacterium. Its description in RNAcentral is "partial 16S ribosomal RNA". It matches the Rfam family "Bacterial small subunit ribosomal RNA", at positions 28 to 523 of the family's 1533-position model. The record is from RNAcentral.
GAUGAACGCUGGCGGCGUGCUUAACACACGCAAGUCGAACGAUGAAGCUGGAGCUUGCUCCGGUGGAUUAGUGGCGAACGGGUGAGUAACACGUGAGCAAUCUGCCCUUGACUCUGGGAUAACUGCGGGAAACUGUAGCUACUACCGGAUACUUUCACUGGAAGGCAUCUUCUGGUGAAGAAAGAAUUUCGGUCAAGGAUGAGCUCGCGGCCUAUCAGCUUGUUGGUGAGGUAACGGCUCACCAAGGCGACGACGGGUAGCCGGCCUGAGAGGGUGACCGGCCACACUGGGACUGAGACACGGCCCAGACUCCUACGGGAGGCAGCAGUGGGGAAUAUUGCACAAUGGGCGCAAGCCUGAUGCAGCAACGCCGCGUGAGGGAUGAAGGCCUUCGGGUUGUAAACCUCUUUUAGCAGGGAAGAAGCGAAAGUGACGGUACCUGCAGAAAAAGCACCGGCUAACUACGUGCCAGCCGCCGCCGUAA